AUGCUUACCUGGUAGGGGAGACACCAUGAUCAGGCCGGUGGUUUUCCCAGGGCGAGGCUCAUCCCCUGCAUUCCGGGUGUGCUGACCCCUGCGAUUUCCCCAAAUGUGGGAAACUCGACUGCAUAAUUUGGGGGGUGGGGUGGGACGACUGCAUUUGCGCUCUCCCCUG
This 169-nucleotide small nuclear RNA is filed under the name Anser cygnoides (Swan goose). Its description in RNAcentral is "U1 spliceosomal RNA (ENSACDG00005011736.1)". It matches the Rfam family "U1 spliceosomal RNA". From Rfam's summary of the family: U1 is a small nuclear RNA (snRNA) component of the spliceosome (involved in pre-mRNA splicing). Lineage: Eukaryota; Metazoa; Chordata; Aves; Anseriformes; Anatidae. The record is from Rfam by way of RNAcentral.